UACGUAGGGUGCAAGCGUUAUCCGGAAUUAUUGGGCGUAAAGAGCUCGUAGGCGGUUUGUCGCGUCUGCUGUGAAAACUGGAGGCUCAACCUCCAGCCUGCAGUGGGUACGGGCAGACUAGAGUGCGGUAGGGGAGAUUGGAAUUCCUGGUGUAGCGGUGAAAUGCGCAGAUAUCAGGAGGAACACCGAUGGCGAAGGCAGGUCUCUGGGCUGUAACUGACGCUGAGGAGCGAAAGCAUGGGGAGCGAACAGG
RNAcentral lists this ribosomal RNA (253 nucleotides) under uncultured bacterium. Its description in RNAcentral is "partial 16S ribosomal RNA". It matches the Rfam family "Bacterial small subunit ribosomal RNA", at positions 524 to 776 of the family's 1533-position model. The record is from RNAcentral.